GAGAUGAGGCUCAGUGGUAGAGCACUUGCCUGGCAUGUGUGAGGCACUGGAUUCGAUACUCAGCAUGACA
This 70-nucleotide transfer RNA is filed under the name Marmota monax (woodchuck). RNAcentral's name for it is "tRNA.Ala". The record is from RNAcentral. Lineage: Eukaryota; Metazoa; Chordata; Mammalia; Rodentia; Sciuridae.